UUAGGCUAUAUCAACCCGUACCGUAAACCGACACAGGUAGUCGAGAUGAGUAUUCUAAGGCGCUCGGGUGAGCCACGGAGAAGGAACUAGGCAAAUUAAUGCUGUAACUUCGGGAUAAAGCAUACCAUAGUAAUAUGGUCUCAGUAAAUUGGUUCAACCAACUGUUUAGCAAAAACACAGGGCCCUGCAAAAUCGAAAGAUGACGUAUAGAGCCUGAUACCUGCCCGGUGCUGGAAGGUUAAGGAAGCUUGUCAGGAGUUAAAUCUGAAGCUUGCGACUGAAGCCCCAGUAAACGGCGGCCGUAACGAUAACGGUCCUAAGGUAGCGAAAUUCCUUGUCGGGUAAGUUCCGACCUGCACGAAUGGUCUAAUGAGUUGAACACUGUCUCCUCCGUGAGCCCGGUGAAAUUGUAGUAUCGGUGAAGAUGCCGGUUACCCGCCACGGGACGAAAAGACCCCGUGAACCUUCACUACAACUUUACAUUGAUUUUGAGUAACAGAUGUGUAGCAUAGUUGGCAGACUUUGAAGCAGUGGCGCCAGCCAUUGUGGAGUCACCGUUGAAAUACCAACCUUCUGUUGCUUAGAGUCUAAUCCCUGACGGGAGACAUUGUAUGGUGGGUAGUUUGACUGGGGUGGUCGCCUCCUAAAGCGUAACGGAGGCUCGCAAAGGUACCCUCAGUACGGUUGGUAAUCGUACGUAGAGCGCAUUAGUAAAAGGGUGCUUGACUGUGAGGCUACCAGCCGAGCAGGUGCGAAAGCAGGCUAAAGUGAUCCGGUGGUUCUGUAUGGAAGGGCCAUCGCUCAAAGGAUAAAAGGUACUCCCGGGAUAACAGGCUGAUCUCCCCCAAGAGCUCAUAUCGACGGGGAGGUUUGGCACCUCGAUGUCGGUUCGUCACAUCCUGGGGCUGGAGAAGGUCCCAAGGGUUGGGCUGUUCGCCCAUUAAAGUGGCACGUGAACUGGGUUCAGAACGUCGCAAGACAGUUCGGUCUCUAUCUGUGGUGGGCGUUAGUAAAUUGAGAGGACAUGCUCUUAGUACGAGAGGACCGGAGCGUAUGUGCCGCUGGUGUAUCGGUUGUGCCGCCAGGUGCAGUGCCGAGUAGCUAUGCACAGACAGGAUAAGCGCUGAAAGCAUCUAAGCGCGAAACCUUCCUCAAGAUGAGUUUACUUUUAAGGGUCGUUGUAGACCACAACGUUGAUAGGCUACAGGUGUAAAGGUGGUAACACCAAAGCCGAGUAGUACUAAUUGCCCGUAAGCUUUGAC
This 1262-nucleotide ribosomal RNA is filed under the name metagenome. RNAcentral describes it as "bacterial LSU rRNA". It matches the Rfam family "Bacterial large subunit ribosomal RNA", at positions 1627 to 2925 of the family's 2925-position model. The record is from RNAcentral.